This 620-nucleotide ribosomal RNA is filed under the name Peribacillus frigoritolerans. RNAcentral's name for it is "bacterial SSU rRNA". It matches the Rfam family "Bacterial small subunit ribosomal RNA", at positions 78 to 683 of the family's 1533-position model. Lineage: Bacteria; Bacillati; Bacillota; Bacilli; Caryophanales; Bacillaceae. The record is from RNAcentral.
GCUUGCUCCCUGAGAUUAGCGGCGGACGGGUGAGUAACACGUGGGCAACCUGCCUAUAAGACUGGGAUAACUUCGGGAAACCGGAGCUAAUACCGGAUACGUUCUUUUCUCGCAUGAGAGAAGAUGGAAAGACGGUUUACGCUGUCACUUAUAGAUGGGCCCGCGGCGCAUUAGCUAGUUGGUGAGGUAAUGGCUCACCAAGGCGACGAUGCGUAGCCGACCUGAGAGGGUGAUCGGCCACACUGGGACUGAGACACGGCCCAGACUCCUACGGGAGGCAGCAGUAGGGAAUCUUCCGCAAUGGACGAAAGUCUGACGGAGCAACGCCGCGUGAACGAAGAAGGCCUUCGGGUCGUAAAGUUCUGUUGUUAGGGAAGAACAAGUACCAGAGUAACUGCUGGUACCUUGACGGUACCUAACCAGAAAGCCACGGCUAACUACGUGCCAGCAGCCGCGGUAAUACGUAGGUGGCAAGCGUUGUCCGGAAUUAUUGGGCGUAAAGCGCGCGCAGGUGGUUCCUUAAGUCUGAUGUGAAAGCCCACGGCUCAACCGUGGAGGGUCAUUGGAAACUGGGGAACUUGAGUGCAGAAGAGGAAAGUGGAAUUCCAGGUGUAGCGGUG